Mus musculus (house mouse) is the source of this 1096-nucleotide RNA transcript. It is a transcript of the gene named predicted gene, 31035, with no coding region annotated. The transcript has 7 exons. Lineage: Eukaryota; Metazoa; Chordata; Mammalia; Rodentia; Muridae. The record is from RefSeq and is a predicted model, not a curated record.
CCCCAGAAGCUGAUCCGUAAAGUGUCCACCUCUGGACAGAUGGGGACCAAGGAAUCAGAGAGGAUGCCUGGGCCUGCAGCUAACACCACCCUCAGGGCUUCGCAGGAGGAGCUGUCCCUGGGGCCAGUGUGGUUUGCCCCACUGCUGCAGGACCUGGAGAGGAUUCAUCCUACAGUGAAUCAGAACAGAAGGGGCCCCAGAAGCUGAUCCAUAAAGUGUCCACCUCUGAACAGAUGGGGACCAAGGAAUCAGAGAGGAUGCCUGGGCCUGCAGCCAGCACCACCCUCAGGGCUUCGCAGGAGGAGCUGUCCCUGGGGCCAGUGUGGUUUGCCCCACUGCUGCAGGACCUGGAGAGGAUUCAUCCUACAGUGAAUCGGAGCAUGAGGGGCCCCAGAAGCUGAUCCAUAAAGUGUCCACCUCUGAACAGAUGGGGACCAAGGAAUCAGAGAGGAUGCCUGGGCCUGCAGCCAGCACCACCCUCAAGGCCUUGCAGGAGGAGCUGUCCCUGGGGCCAGAGAGUUUUCCACUGCUGCAGGACCUGGAGAGGAUUCGUUCGAGAGUGAAUCGGAGCAUGAGGGGCCCCAGAAGCUGAUCCGUAAAGUGUCCACCUCUGGACAGAUGGGGACCAAGGAAUCAGAGAGGAUGCCUGGGCCUGCAGCCAGCACCACCCUCAAGGCCUUGCAGGAGGAGCUGUCCCUGGGGCCAGAGAGUUUUCCACUGCUGCAGGACCUGGAGAGGAUUCGUUCGAGAGUGAAUCGGAGCAUGAGGGGCCCCAGAAGCUGAUCCGUAAAGUGUCCACCUCUGGACAGAUGGGGACCAAGGAAUCAGAGAGGAUGCCUGGGCCUGCAGCCAGCACCACCCUCAAGGCCUUGCAGGAGGAGCUGUCCCUGGGGCCAGAGAGUUUUCCACUGCUGCAGGACCUGGAGAGGAUUCGUUCGAGAGUGAAUCGGAGCAUGAGGGGCCCCAGAAGCUGAUCCGUAAAGUGUCCACCUCUGGACAGAUGGGGACCAAGAAGCAUAAGAGGUCAUCCUGGUGUGGAGGCAUGGCUGCAUGAGGCAGGCAUAGCAGUAGAAGCAGGAAGCUGCAGCAUGAUGCA